AUACGGAGGGUGCGAGCGUUAAUCGGAAUUACUGGGCGUAAAGCGUACGUAGGCGGUUAUUUAAGUCAGAUGUGAAAGCCCCGGGCUUAACUUGGGAACUGCAUUUGAAACUGGGUAACUAGAGUUUAGUAGAGGGGAGUGGAAUUUCAGGUGUAGCGGUGAAAUGCGUAGAGAUCUGAAGGAACACCAGUGGCGAAGGCGACUCCCUGGACUAAAACUGACGCUGAGGUACGAAAGCGUGGGUAGCAAACAGGAUUAGAAACCCCAGUAGUCC
RNAcentral lists this ribosomal RNA (274 nucleotides) under uncultured bacterium. RNAcentral describes it as "partial 16S ribosomal RNA". It matches the Rfam family "Bacterial small subunit ribosomal RNA", at positions 523 to 796 of the family's 1533-position model. The record is from RNAcentral.